Hemicordylus capensis (graceful crag lizard) is the source of this 485-nucleotide long non-coding RNA. RefSeq lists it as uncharacterized. NCBI's taxonomy places the organism in Eukaryota, Metazoa, Chordata, Lepidosauria, Squamata, Cordylidae. The record is from RefSeq and is a predicted model, not a curated record. The transcript is spliced from 4 exons.
GGGAGGGAGGUGAGAAGAAGCGGGCCACGGUCGGGCAGGGGUUGAGAAGCGGCCCAGCAGGACAGCAGAGACACAGAUGUUCUGCAACCGACCCAAGAGAAAGAGAGGCGAGGGCUAGACUGUGUGUGUGCCGCAUGUACAACAACUACAAAAUAGGAAUGAUCAGGCUGUUGAGAAGAUCAGUAUAUCAGGACUGCAGAUACAUCUUAAGAGAUUUCAACACAGACAGGCUAGUUAUACGUUUAAAUAUUCCAAGACUCAUGUCCCAACAUGUAACAUGAAAUGAAGAGACUAGAGACAGCUUCAGCUCUGUGAAACUGAACAUUUGAACAACUCUGAACACUAAAGAAGAAUAAAAAAGAUAGUUCAGCAAUCGUAUAUCAAUUAACUACAGAAGGAAAAAAAGUUUGAUGGAUCAAUUACUAUGCUGGGUGCCCUUGAUAAGGUGCCCUUAUCACUCUUAAACAGUCCCCUUUCCACUUGCU